Molecule: ribosomal RNA, 301 nt
Filed under: uncultured bacterium
Lineage: Bacteria
Description: partial 16S ribosomal RNA
Rfam family: Bacterial small subunit ribosomal RNA
Source: RNAcentral
CAGUCGCCGCGGGAAUACGAAGGUCCCGAGCGUUGUUCGGAAUCACUGGGCGUAAAGGGAGCGCAGGCGGUUAUGUAAGACAGUUGUGAAAUCCCCGGGCUCAACCUGGGAACUGCAUCUGUGACUGCAUAGCUAGAGUACGGUAGAGGGGGAUGGAAUUCCGCGUGUAGCAGUGAAAUGCGUAGAUAUGCGGAGGAACACCGAUGGCGAAGACAAUCCCCUGGACCUGUACUGACGCUCAUGCACGAAAGCGUGGGGAGCAAACAGGAUUAGAUACCCCUGUAGUCCCUGUCUCUUAUAC